UAAANUAGUAGUUUGAUCCUGGCUCUAGAUUGAACGCUGGCGGCAUGCCUUACACAUGCAAGUCGAACGGCAGCACGGGAGCAAUCCUGGUGGCGAGUGGCGAACGGGUGAGUAAUACAUCGGAACGUGUCCUGUAGUGGGGGAUAGCCCGGCGAAAGCCGGAUUAAUACCGCAUACGCUCUACGGAGGAAAGGGGGGGAUCUUAGGACCUCUCGCUACAGGGGCGGCCGAUGGCAGAUUAGCUAGUUGGUGGGGUAAAGGCCUACCAAGGCGACGAUCUGUAGCUGGUCUGAGAGGACGACCAGCCACACUGGGACUGAGACACGGCCCAGACUCCUACGGGAGGCAGCAGUGGGGAAUUUUGGACAAUGGGCGCAAGCCUGAUCCAGCAAUGCCGCGUGUGUGAAGAAGGCCUUCGGGUUGUAAAGCACUUUUGUCCGGAAAGAAAACCUCUGGGUUAAUACCCCGGGGGGAUGACGGUACCGGAAGAAUAAGCACCGGC
This 502-nucleotide ribosomal RNA is filed under the name Burkholderia sp. EPN228. Its description in RNAcentral is "bacterial SSU rRNA". It matches the Rfam family "Bacterial small subunit ribosomal RNA", at positions 1 to 497 of the family's 1533-position model. Lineage: Bacteria; Pseudomonadati; Pseudomonadota; Betaproteobacteria; Burkholderiales; Burkholderiaceae. The record is from RNAcentral.